GACGAACGCUGGCGGCGUGCUUAACACAUGCAAGUCGAACGGUGAAGGGACCGGUUUUUGCUGGUUCUGGAUGAGUGGCGAACGGGUGAGUAACACGUGAGUAACCUGCCCCCUUCUUCUGGAUAACCGCAUGAAAGUGUGGCUAAUACGGGAUAUUCUGCGCCUGCUGCAUGGUGGGUGUGGGAAAGAUAUUGUUUCGGUGGGGGAUGGGCUCGCGGCCUAUCAGCUUGUUGGUGGGGUGAUGGCCUACCAAGGCGGUGACGGGUAGCCGGCCUGAGAGGGUGGACGGUCACACUGGGACUGAGACACGGCCCAGACUCCUACGGGAGGCAGCAGUGGGGAAUAUUGCACAAUGGGCGCAAGCCUGAUGCAGCGACGCCGCGUGAGGGAUGGAAGCCUUCGGGUUGUAAACCUCUUUCGCCAGUGAAGCAGGCCUGUCCCUUGUGUGGGUGGGUUGACGGUAGCUGGAGAAGAAGCGCCGGCUAACUACGUG
RNAcentral lists this ribosomal RNA (493 nucleotides) under uncultured bacterium. Its description in RNAcentral is "partial 16S ribosomal RNA". It matches the Rfam family "Bacterial small subunit ribosomal RNA", at positions 28 to 507 of the family's 1533-position model. The record is from RNAcentral.